GAAAGAAAGAAAGAAAAAGAAAGAAAGAAAAAAGGAAUGUUCAUUUCAGUGAUCCUAAUUGAAAACAAUCUAAGUUAUGCUCAUUUGGGCAUUGGAGAAAUAAACAAUAGAACAAUCAUUUAUUAAAUACCAUCUGACCAUGAAGAAGGUUGGGGAGAUUCCUAUUGCUGGAUUGCCAACAAUCUACGAAAUGAAAAAGGGGUGUUCAUCGACUUCCCGCAUCCAAAACAUCAUGACAUGUGGCCAGCCACAUCCCCUCAGCAACCCCUCGAGUGACCACGUGUCACGACGGCCAUCAUGCGUUUACCUCCACGUGGAAGCAUCCCUCUCUCUUCCUCCUCUUUCUUGAUUGCUCCUCUAGCAAAAAAGUCUUCACACAACAACCAAACUGAGCCUGUAGAAACACAAACCAGAGGAGGAUACAUCCAAACCAUUUCCUGUGGUCUGCGAAGCUCUAUCUAUGCUGGCCUCUGCCUGUCACUUACAGUCAUCUCGCCCUACACUCCACCCCGCACAAGCAAAGCAGAUAAGCUCCUAGCUCUCUUGGGCUCCCAGUCAAACUG
Molecule: long non-coding RNA, 563 nt
Filed under: Homo sapiens (human)
Lineage: Eukaryota; Metazoa; Chordata; Mammalia; Primates; Hominidae
Description: non-protein coding lnc-TSHZ2-6:2
Source: RNAcentral